Pongo pygmaeus (Bornean orangutan) is the source of this 3801-nucleotide long non-coding RNA. RefSeq lists it as uncharacterized. NCBI's taxonomy places the organism in Eukaryota, Metazoa, Chordata, Mammalia, Primates, Hominidae. The record is from RefSeq and is a predicted model, not a curated record. The transcript is spliced from 5 exons.
CGUAACGUCCCAUGCGAGCUGUAGGAGUGCGGCGGGACGUGGAAAUCGAAUCUGUGCUCUGUGAGAGAUCCUAGGAGAGGAAACUGGGAGCCCAGGAGAACUAAAAUUCCCAAUUAAAAGUGAAUUUAAAUCUGAGCUGUUCUUAGACCCAGAAUUUCUUGCCUGAAGGAGGAGUCAGGUCCCCACAAGGAAAGACCCUGCAACUGUAUAAAAAAAGAAUCUAAAAAGAUCAUGACUCCUUCAGUCCUUUCCCAAAGAGACCUAUGGAAAUUUCCUCAGGAGCACUCACAACAGAAUAGACAUUAAACAGCUGCAUAAACAAAUGACUCAGCCAGUUGAUGUCAGUCAGCCUGUGUCAACAGCCACCCCAAUGCUGGCACAAAGGGCACUAGAACAGAAUAGCCUGAUGGCAGAGAUGAAGUGUGCAUGGCUCCAGCAGCACGGACUCCUCUCAUUAAGGCUGAUCUAGCUACUGUUGCUGCCCCAUGUCUAAUUUGCCAGCAACGGAGACCAAAGUUGAGCCCCGGAAUCAGCACCAUUCCUCAAAGAGACCAGCUAGUCACUUGGUGGAAGAGGGACCAAGCAAAAUCCCAGAAGAGUUGAUCUCAAAGCUUAUUUCAUGAAGAAAAUUGACCUGAGUGACACAAAGGGUUGGACUGUAGUAGAUGUCACGUUUUGCUGCCUAGAUCUCCAUCCAGGGAUGAACUCUUAUUUCCUCAGCUUCUUUGUUUCCUCAGCUUCUGGGAGGGUUGGCAGCUGACAUUCUCACCUGAGUCCCUUUCUAGGACUUGCCCUUGCCUGAAGAGAGCUGUGUUGCCCAACAUGAUGCCUCCUCCAAGGUACAAUCCACACCCACUGACUAAUAAACAGGGGUUACAAAGGCAUGCCUGCUUGCCCCAAUUUGGGAAAACUUUACCAGGCCAACCCAGCCUCAAGGCUCUCUGCAGGAACAGGGACCCUGAAAGCUGCAUCUAUGAAGUUAUUACAAGAUAUUGGCUACUGUGGUGCAUGGAACUUCUAGGCCAGGAUGAUUCUUACACCUGCCUGAUGUGGAUCUUCUUGCUUCACACCUGAAACAUCAUUUGGGAAGCCUGGGAAGCGGUGUGGCUGCUGCAUGGCUGCUCCAAGAACUACUCCUGUGGGAGAGGAGCUCCCAACAGUGUCUUACCAUCAAGCUUUGAUUUCUACCUUACAUACCUCUGAAUAAACUGUUGCCAAUGAGGCUGAUGGAAGUCUUGUGAGUUUGAAUGCCAGGUUGAACCUAAGAGGAUUCCCUGGUGAGCAUUGCAAGAUGGUAUAAUCAAUGUUAUUAAUUUGUGGGGAGUUUAAUAAAAGUAUUGUUUAUAUUGGUGUGGGAAGGGUAUAAAGAAAUUACAAGGUAUGGUGCAGUGUCCCAAGAAUAGUAACAUGGGGCGCUGAAAAGAUAGGGAAAGGAAAAGAAUGAGUGACCAGAACCUGGUGAUGGAGCCACAGGGGAGGGCUGCCUGGCUGGAGCUGUGACUUACCAUUGAAGGACUCAGGCAGUUCUUUUUUUUCUUCAGACAGGGGCUUGCUCCUUCAUGUAGGCUGUCGUGCAGUGGUGUGAUCAUGACUGACUGCAUCCUCAGCACACAGCAGCAUACCGGGCUAAUUUUUGUAUUUUUAUAGACAGGUUCUCUCUCACCAGGUUGCCCAGUCUGAUCUCAAAAUCCUGGGCUCAAGCAAUCUUCCUGCCAUGGCCUCCCAAAGUGCUGGGAUUAUAGGCAUAAGCCACUGCACCCAGCCCUCAGGCAGUUUUUAUUAAUUCUGCAGGAAGGGAGCUGGGAGAAUAAAAAUCCUGACCUCAUUUUCUUUCUUUCCUUUGUUCUCUUGCUUGAGCUUCCCAUGGAUGAACUCAAAGAAUUCAGAAAUUGAAUGAUAUAAAUAACAAAGUUAAAUUAAUAGACAUGUAUUGAACUUAGUUUUUAGAGUAUGUAUAAUUUUCCCAAUUUUCUGUGAAAUUAUUGCAAAAUUUGACCGCAAACUAUAAGGCUACAGUUUAAAAAUAUAAUAAAUUCCUAACUGUAAAAAUUUUCUAGGUUAAAUUCUUUGAUCACAAAGCAGGCAAGAAAUGAUUGGUGGAACAAACUAAAAUACUAGCUCCAUGAAUGAAAAGACCUACAUGGAUAUGAGAGUAAAUAAGAAGGAGUUAGCAGCGAUGGGACUUUGUGAUUGACUGGAUAUAGACAAUGAGGAAUAUAGCGAAGGAAAAAUGAUUUCCUGAUUUCUGGCAUGGGCAGCUGAGUAGAUGGUUAUGCUACAAACUAAGAAAGGAGAGAAGGAUAGGAAGAGACGGGCCUGGAAGAGUAUGGAGUUUGAGAUGAGAAGAGAAAAUGGAAACUCUAAGGAGCACAGAAAAUUAAGGCCCAAGUGAAGAAAGAUGAGCUUGCAAGGAAGACUGGGUGAUGACAAGUGGUGUAGGAGAGAAUCCGGGUACUCUGUUUUGCUGAAAUGAGAAAGACGGACAUACAGAUGCAUAUAAAGUCAUAUAGAGGCAGAUAUAUUUAUACUUGAGGAAGUCUGGACAUUGAGUAAGUUAGUGCUGAUAACUUCUAGUUUCUUAGUUAAGAAAGAGAUAAGGUUAUCUAUACGGAGUAAGGAGGAACCUGGUGGUGCCAUUGCUACUACGGUGUAAUACGUCACUACUAUUACUAUUAAUCAUGGUGUAAUACCUAAAACGUAGUGGCUUGAAAUAACAAUAAUUAUCUUUUAUCUCUCACAGUUUCUCUGGGUCAGAAAUUUGAGGAUAAGGUGGUGAAUGAUUCUGGCUCAAGGUCUCCCAUAUUGUUGUGAUCAGUGGCUGGAGCCAGAACAGCAGAGGGCUAAGAGAAUCUAGGGAUUGGUCAGAUGUCGCUUUCAUUUUAUCUGGCUUUGAGACCUCUCCAUGUGAGCUAAUUUAGGCUUCCUCAUAGCGUGGUAACCUCCAGGUAUGUGAACUGUGUAGGGGUUGACGCUUCCAAAAACAAGUAUUCUAGCAGGCAAGGUUCAUCUUUUAUGCUCUAGGCAUGGAAAUUACAUAGCGUCACUUUCCCUAAAAUAAGAAAGGAUAUAGCAUGUUUGGACACUAUGAACCAGUAUCACCUAAUUGACAUUAACAGACCAUCCUAUCCAGCAAUGGCAGAAUACAUACUUUUUCAAGUGUAGAUGGAACAUUCACCAAGGCAGAUCAUAUUCUGGGCCAUGUACAAAAAAAACUGAGAAAUUUAAAAGGAUUAAAAUUACAGAAAGCAUGCUCUCUGACCACAGUGGAAUUAAGCUAGAAAUAGAAAACAAAAAAUUAUAUAGAAAAUCCCCAAAUAUUUGGAAAUUUUUUAUUUUUUAUUUUUUUAAAUUGUAUUUUUUAACCAAUGAAAAAUAAUUGAAUUAUUUGUGGAGUACAUAGUGUUGUUUCAAUACAUAUAAUGUAUAGUGAUCAGAUCAUGGUAAUUAGCAUAUCUGUCAUUCCAGACAUUUAUCAUUUUUUGUGUAGGGAACCUUCAAUAUUAUCUUCUAGCUAUUUAAAACUACAUAAUAUAUUAUGGUUAAUUACAGUUUUUCUAUCGUGGUAUAGAAAUUAGAUAAUAGACUCUUUUAAAGUCCAUGGGACACAAUGAAAAAUAAUUAGAAAAAUUAGAACAUACUUUGAACUGAUUGAAAAUUAAAACACAACAUAUCAAAAUUUGUGAGAUGCAGCUAAAGCAGUGCCUACUGAAAAAUGUAUGGGAUUAGAUACUUAAAAAGUAGAUGUUAAACCAAUGUCCUAAGCUUCUGCCUCAAGAAACUUAAGAAAAAAAGCAAGCAAAG